CGUUUCUAUCGCUAUAAGAGAACGCUGUAAACUCAAAUUCUUAUCCCUUUAUUUGUUUUCCGCCGAAAAAUAGCGCUCUCUACCUGUUGAUUGGUACGAACACUCUAUUGAAUCUAGGCUGAAUAUAGAGAAGAUAUCUUACCUGCUGCUCCAGUGUAAGGAGUAUAAGCAUCAAAUCCGUUUGUGUACUGGCCGGUGUAGGGGGCAGCCGCAGCUGCUGCUACUGCUGCAGCAUUCUGGUACUCGUAGAACUGCGAGGUAGCCGCUGCUGCCACGGCUGCAGCAUGCGUCAGUUGCGUAGCCUGUAGAGGAACUAAACUGCCGGGUGCGGUAGCUGCCAGAUAGGGUGAUGGGUAGACGUAGCCUGGUGGAACUCUGAAAAUAUUGACGAACAAUUAGGAUACUAAGAGGUGUGGGUCAAAUGUGCGAAAAAGCAAACACCAGAAGACUCAAACCUUGGUGGCCGAUAUAAGAUUAUAGCAAGUAUUAUACAAAUAAAAUUCAGUGAUACAGUUGUUCAGAUAUCUC
This is a long non-coding RNA of Diabrotica virgifera virgifera (western corn rootworm), 528 nucleotides long. RefSeq lists it as uncharacterized. The transcript is spliced from 2 exons. Lineage: Eukaryota; Metazoa; Arthropoda; Insecta; Coleoptera; Chrysomelidae. The record is from RefSeq and is a predicted model, not a curated record.